UUCAUAUCAAAUGUAUGGAAAUAGAAGCAUGUAGCAGCUCGGUGAAGGUUCCAUUGUCAAUAGUUUUUUGUCAGGUGUUUGACCAUUCUUAUCAAGUUUAUUUAGAUCUUUAAGUAGGUAGGUGAGAUGCAAGAAAACCUUUUGUAUGUAACCGAUAAUACACUUCCCCUAAUUUAGAUAUUGAUUUUCAGAAUGUUUGUUUGCCAAGUGAAUCUAUAUAUUUGUAUGUACAUUGAAUGAUUUAUUUACAGCUGAAUGUUUUAGUCAAUCUUCUCCUGUAUCGGCAGCCAAACUAACCAACUGUUCUGGAAGCACACAAUAUUGUGUAACUUAUUUACAUAACUAUGUUAAUGGCUACAGGGAAACUACUAAAGGAUGUGCCAGCGCUAAUGAGUGUCAGACGUCUUUAAUAAAUACAGCAAGUGGUCAGUGUAGUGUAUUUAGCGAAGAUCAACUUUACACGUCUGACUUUAAAUGUACUUACUGUUGUACCAAAGACAAAUGUAAUGGAAGAAUAGUUCCUCCACACGAGACUAUGUACACGGGACACGUAACCUUACCUACACCGACUAAUACAACUACAACUGAGUGUUUAAUCAAGCCAUCACCAUCAUCACAGGAAAUAUUAAAGGACUGUUCCGGUUCGACACCCUACUGUAUCACACAUUUUGCUAACUACAACAACGGGUACAGGGAGACGACCAAAGGGUGUGCAAGUGGGGCAACUUGCGAUGCAACAAAAACCGGCAACAAAAAGUUUAAUGACCAGUGUACUUACUACGACGAGAAUUUUUUAUACAAGUCCGAUUUUACAUGUUCAUACUGCUGUACGAAAGAUAUAUGUAAUACUGGUAUAUUGCCUCCUCAUGAAACACUUUAUCAACCUUAAUAGAGUAAGCGUUAAUACGGGACUUAUUUAAAUAAGUAAAUAAAAGAAAAACACUUCAUAUAUUUUUAUUAGAAUAAACGAAAUGAAUUGAAA
Mytilus californianus (California mussel) is the source of this 982-nucleotide long non-coding RNA. RefSeq lists it as uncharacterized. Lineage: Eukaryota; Metazoa; Mollusca; Bivalvia; Mytilida; Mytilidae. The record is from RefSeq and is a predicted model, not a curated record. The transcript is spliced from 4 exons.